This 483-nucleotide ribosomal RNA is filed under the name uncultured bacterium. Its description in RNAcentral is "bacterial SSU rRNA". It matches the Rfam family "Bacterial small subunit ribosomal RNA", at positions 29 to 487 of the family's 1533-position model. The record is from RNAcentral.
AACUAACGCUGGCGGCGUGCCUAACACAUGCAAGUCGUACGAGAAAGUUGGCUUCGGCCGAUGAGUAAAGUGGCGCACGGGUGAGUAAUGCGUGGAUAAUCUGCCCUUUAGUUGGGAAUAACGUACCGAAAGGUGCGCUAAUACCUGAUAAUACUGCAUAACUGCUGUUGUGUAGUCAAAGAAGGCCUCUGUUUACAAGCUUUUGCUGAAGGAUGAGUCCGCGUACCAUUAGCUGGUUGGUGGGGUAAUGGCCUACCAAGGCUACGAUGGUUAGCUGGUCUGAGAGGAUGAUCAGCCACACUGGAACUGAGACACGGUCCAGACUCCUACGGGAGGCAGCAGUGAGGAAUAUUGCGCAAUGGGGGCAACCCUGACGCAGCAACGCCGCGUGAGUGAGGAAGGUUUUCGGACCGUAAAGCUCUGUCGAGCGGGAAGAAAUGUAUCAUGGCUAAUAUCCAUGAUACUUGACGGUACCGCUAAAGG